Molecule: ribosomal RNA, 205 nt
Filed under: uncultured bacterium
Lineage: Bacteria
Description: partial 16S ribosomal RNA
Rfam family: Bacterial small subunit ribosomal RNA
Source: RNAcentral
GAUUGUAGGCUGCAACUCGCCUACAUGAAGUCGGAAUUGCUAGUAAUCGCGGAUCAGCAUGCCGCGGUGAAUACGUUCCCGGGCCUUGUACACACCGCCCGUCACACCAUGAGAGCCGGUAACACCCGAAGUCAGUAGCCUAACCGCAAGGGGGGCGCUGCCGAAGGUGGGAUUGGUAAUUGGGGUGAAGUCGUAACAAGGUACC